CUGCUCAAUGAAAUUUUAAAUAGCUGCAGUAUUAAUAACUGUACAAAGGUAGCAUAAUAAUUAGAUUUUUAAUUGAAAUCUAGAAUGAAAGAUUGAAUGAAAUAUUUACUGUUUCAAAUAAAUUUAAUAAACUUAUUUUUAAGUAAAAAUACUUAAAUAUUUUAAAAAGACGAGAAGACCCUAUAGAAUUUUAUAUAAUUUAACUAUUAAUAAAAUUAAUUUAAUUAAUUAAAUUUAAAUUAUAUUUAAUUGGGGCAAUUUUAAAAUAUAAAUAACUUUUAAUUAUAAAAACAUUUAAUUAUGAAUAAUUAAUCCUAUAAUUUAGAAAAAAUUAAUUACCUUAGGAAUAACAGCAUAAUUUUUUUUUUAGUUCUUAUAUAAAAAAAAGUUUAUGACCUCGAUGUUGAAUUAAGAUUAAUUAAAAUGAAAAAAUUUUAAAAUUUAAGUCUGUUCGACU
RNAcentral lists this ribosomal RNA (457 nucleotides) under Leiophron uniformis. RNAcentral describes it as "partial 16S ribosomal RNA". Lineage: Eukaryota; Metazoa; Arthropoda; Insecta; Hymenoptera; Braconidae. The record is from RNAcentral.